CUGACUGAAUAGGUAGGGUCAUU
Molecule: microRNA, 23 nt
Filed under: Homo sapiens (human)
Lineage: Eukaryota; Metazoa; Chordata; Mammalia; Primates; Hominidae
Description: hsa-miR-3136-5p
Source: miRBase by way of RNAcentral